UGGGGAAUAUUGGACAAUGGGCGCAAGCCUGAUCCAGCCAUGCCGCGUGAGUGAUGAAGGCCCUAGGGUUGUAAAGCUCUUUCACCGGUGAAGAUAAUUACGGUAACCGGAGAAGAAGCCCCGGCUAACUUCGUGCCAGCAGCCGCGGUAAUACGAAGGGGGCUAGCGUUGUUCGGAUUUACUGGGCGUAAAGCGCACGUAGGCGGACUUUUAAGUCAGGGGUGAAAUCCCGGGGCUUAACCCCGGAACUGCCUUUGAUACUGGAAGUCUUGAGUAUGGUAGAGGUGAGUGGAAUUCCGAGUGGAGAGGUGAAAUUCGUAGAUAUUCGGAGGAACACCAGUGGCGGAGGCGGCUCACUGGACCAUUACUGACGCUGAGGUGCGAAAGCGUAGGGAGCAAACAGG
RNAcentral lists this ribosomal RNA (404 nucleotides) under Actinomycetes bacterium. Its description in RNAcentral is "Actinobacteria bacterium partial 16S ribosomal RNA". It matches the Rfam family "Bacterial small subunit ribosomal RNA", at positions 355 to 776 of the family's 1533-position model. The record is from RNAcentral. Lineage: Bacteria; Bacillati; Actinomycetota; Actinomycetes.